This 1461-nucleotide ribosomal RNA is filed under the name bacterium. RNAcentral's name for it is "partial 23S ribosomal RNA". It matches the Rfam family "Archaeal large subunit ribosomal RNA", at positions 981 to 2488 of the family's 2987-position model. The record is from RNAcentral.
GUAGAGCACUGAUUGGCGGUUCCGGGGGAGAAAUCCCUCACCCGCCUGUCAAACUCCAAACCCACUGUCAUCUAAGAAGGUCGGAGUCCGGACUGCUGGGGUAAGCUUGUAGUCCGUAAGGGAGACAACCCAGCCCGUGGUUAAGGUCCCCAAGUGUCGACUAAGUGUUAACACUAAAGGGCGUCCCAAGCCCAAGACAGCUGGAAGGUUAGCUUAGAAGCAGCUACCCUUCAAAGAGUGCGUAACAGCUCACCAGUCGAGGUUUGGGGCCCCGAAAAUUGACGGGGCUCAAGUCGACCACCGAUACCACGGAGUACCGAAAGGUAAUCUUGUAGGAAGGCGUUGUGUUCGGGCUGAAGCAGGGCUGUAAAGUCCUGUGGACCGUUCACAAACGAAAAUCCUGGUAACAGUAGCAGCAUAGCAGGGUGAGAAUCCCUGCCGCCGAAGGGGCCAGGUUUCCUCGGCAAUGAUCGUCAGCCGAGGGUUAGUCGGUCCUAAGACGUACCGUAACUCGAGUACGCCAAAAGGGAAACAGGUUAAUAUUCCUGUACCAUUUAGCAACAAAUCUGACGUCUCAGGGCAGGCCGAGCGGCGCCGUCGCGCCGUCUAAGCAGCGAAACCCGUGGAGAGCCGUAAUGGCGAGAAGCAGGCGAAUCUGUAAUGGCUAAAGUCGGCUGCACCCAGGGACCCGUGAAAAGGAGAGCUAAAUGUCCGUACCGAGAACUGACACAGGUGCCCCUAGCUGAAAAGGCUAAGGCGUGUCGGAGUAAUUCAGUUAAGGGAAUUCGGCAAAUUAGCUCCGUAACUUCGGGAGAAGGAGUGCCUGCUUUGAAGAAAGCAGGUCGCAGUGACCAGGGGGCUCUAACUGUCUAAUACCAACAUAGGAGAUUGCAAAUCCGUAAGGACUAGUACAAUCUCUGAAUCCUGCUCAGUGCAGGUACCUGAAACCCCGGUUCAACGGGAAGAAGGGCCUGUAAACAGCGGGGGUAACUAUGACCCUCUUAAGGUAGCGUAGUACCUUGUCGCUUAAUUGGCGACUUGCAUGAAUGGAUCAAUGAGAGCCCUACUGUCCCUAACUGGAGUCCGGUGAAGCUUACAUUCUAGUGCACAGUCUAGAGACCUCUAGGGGGAAGUGAAGACCCCGUGGAGCUUUACUGCAGCCUGUCGUUGGGUUGUGGUUCUGGAUGUACAGUGUAGGUAGGAGGCGUCGAAGCGGGUGCGCCAGCAUCCGUGGAGCCGCAAUUGGGACACUACCCUUCUGGGACUACGACCCUAACUCUGUGAAGAGGACCCCGAUAGGUGGGCAGUUUGCCUGGGGCGGGACGCCCUUGAAAAGAUAUCAAGGGCGCGCAAUGGUUGACUCAAGUGGGUCGGAAACUCACUGAAGAGUGCAAGAGCAUAAGUCAGCCUGACGUUAUUCAGCAUAGCAGUGGAUGACGAGACGAAAGUCGGUUCUAGCGA